RNAcentral lists this ribosomal RNA (367 nucleotides) under uncultured bacterium. RNAcentral's name for it is "bacterial SSU rRNA". It matches the Rfam family "Bacterial small subunit ribosomal RNA", at positions 527 to 896 of the family's 1533-position model. The record is from RNAcentral.
GGAGGGUGCAAGCGUUAUCCGGAUUCACUGGGUUUAAAGGGUGCGUAGGUGGGUCUGUAAGUCCGUGGUGAAAUCUCCGAGCUUAACUUGGAAACUGCCAUGGAUACUAUAGGUCUUGAAUACUGUGGAGGUCAGCGGAAUAUGUCAUGUAGCGGUGAAAUGCUUAGAUAUGACAUAGAACACCAAUUGCGAAGGCAGCUGGCUACACAAAUAUUGACACUGAUGCACGAAAGCGUGGGGAUCAAACAGGAUUAGAUACCCUGGUAGUCCACGCCCUAAACGAUGGAUACUCGACAUUUGCGAUAAACUGCAAGUGUCUGAGCGAAAGCAUUAAGUACCCCACCUGGGAAGUACGAUCGCAAGAUUG